AUAUGAAUCUGAUAAAUUUUUUAUUCUUGUAACAUCUGGUAAGGUGUCUGGAAGGUCAUGAUGCAUUGUUUUCUGCGCUAUAUGCAUUUAGAGCCGUGAAACCUAUAGGAAAAAGAUACAUAGACCACUCUUUUCUAUACGCCCCUUUGCACCACUGCUGAUGUGGCAGGGGUAGUUUGAUAAUUUCACGCGAUAGGGAUAGUUUGGUAGUUUUUACAAUCUCUUUCUCUUCUUUGUUCACAGAUCUGUUCUCUCUCCGUCUCAAUCCCACUCUUCCAUAUCUCUCCCUCAUCCGGACUGCUCUCUCACCCCCAACCAACACAUGAUCUCCACUCACCGCCAUGUCUCCUUUCGUGAUCUCCUCCCACUGCUCCGUCCCCUUUCAGCCACCGUCAAGUCACAAUAACUGUCGGCGCACAGUCACUGUCGCAUCAGAGUCUCAAUCGCGACCUUGCUCCCUCACUCAAAUCGUUGGAAAUCUCUGUCACAAUCUAGUCGAAAAUUGAAUCUCUCUGUUAAAGGAACUCUAGCAAAGUACAUUGCUGGUCAAGUGUAUUACUAUCCAGCUUUCCAAUCAGUCAUUCAUGGGGAGAAAUUGAGUCAUGAAUUAAGGAAAGACCUCACAAGAGAGACUGCACGGGAAGCAUGGAUCAUAUGCAUUGCAGAGAUACUUAGUAACUAGUUAUCUAUGCUGGGUUGAUGGAGUUUUUCGGUGAUUAAUGAUGAUCUAGCUGUCUACAAGGCCAAAUAAAUUUGCAAAGCAUGGAUCACAAAUGGAAUAACAGCUAUGUUUUUCCUGAGCAUGAUGAUUUACUUUCUUGUAGAUAAUAUGCAUUGCCACAAUUAAUUUGAAAUAUUGUCAGGUGUUUCUAUAGAAUUGGGUUAUGCAAGGUAGAGGUUGAAGUAGCUUUGCAAACAAUGGUGUUAGUUUAAGUACUUGUCUUAUGGUGUUUUAGCAUUACAUGUGUACUAGAGGUUACUUCUAUAUGGUGCAUUAGCAUACUAGAAAGUGUAACCAUGUAUUAUUAGCUCAAAUUAGGAGCUUGUUUAAUGACAUACUUAGGUAA
Molecule: long non-coding RNA, 1067 nt
Organism: Medicago truncatula (barrel medic)
Lineage: Eukaryota; Viridiplantae; Streptophyta; Magnoliopsida; Fabales; Fabaceae
Exons: 2
Source: RefSeq, a predicted model, not a curated record